ACGUAUUAAUAGCUAGAUGAUUGUAUUAUUAGAUGAUUCAAAUGCUUCUGGCAGGUUAAAGAAGGCUGGAAAUGUUUAGGAUCAUGGAGGUGGACAAGAGGAGAGCCAAUACAGUAUGGUAGUGGUGGAUGAAGGGAUGGUAGUUGCAAAUCUAGAAAGCAAUAGAAAUGUUGAUAUGGGUCAAUUUUGAAAUGGAAUCAAUGAAUGCUGAACAUCAAGCUGUAGCUAGAAAUUUGGGGAUGGUGGUAGUGUGUAAUUAGAUAACUAAUGACAAGAUAAUGGAAGAGAUCAAGGCAAUUACCUUUAGAAAUAUAGAAGCUGAGUAUAUUAAGGACAGCUAAGUACUUUUAUUGCAUGAAAGAAGUUGGUUAGGGAUUGCCAUUUGUAAAACAAACAUGUCCAAAUUUAGGAAAUAAGGUGAGAUUAACAUGAUGGGAGUUGUAAGGGUGAGAGCUGGUAUCAGUGGAAUGGGGCUUACAUGUUUGAAUGUGAUUGUGAUUUACAAUUUAAUGAAGGGUAAUGAGUUGAAUGGUGAUGGUGCUAAAAGGUCUAGACCUAGUUGGAAUAUAGAAAAGAAGAGCCAAGGAGCUAGUAUUAAGGUAAAAGUUAAAACCAAGAUACAUAUCAAGGUUUGUGUAGAAGAGACAUGAAAAUAGAAGAUUAACAUGAUGAGAGUAGUAGGGGAGAGCUGGUAUUAAUGGAAUGGGGCUUACAUGUUUGAAUGUGAUUGUGAUUUACAAUCUAAUGAGGGGUAAUGAGGUGAAUGGUGACGGUGCUAAAAGGUCUACACCUAGUCGGAAUAUAGAAAAGAAGAGCCAAGGAGUUAAUAUUAAGGUAAAAGUCAAAACCAAGAUACGUGUCAGGGCUUGUGAAGAAGAGACAUGAAAAUAGGAGAAGAUAUUCAUGACGGGAGGGCAUUGGAAGUAAUUGAAAUUGGCCGAUGAGGAGCUUGUGAAGAACUUAUGGAAAUGGUGGAAGCCAGAAUUAUCAGGGCUUGUGAAGAAGAGCCAUGAAAUAUGAGAAGAUAUACAUGACGGGAAAACAUUGGAAGUAAUUGAAAUUGGCCGAUGAGGAGCUUGUCGAGGAACUUAUGGAAAUGGUGGUAGCUGGAAUAUGUUCUGGCUCUGUUGUUUACAACAAGGUGCUUGAUGUGGAACUGCUGAGGGCUCAACUACACUUGUGCAGUUAAGAGUUUUUGUUUAAGACUAGGGAAAGUCACACCUGUGCAGAUUGCUCACACGAAAGGUGUACAUAUAUUAGAAAAAAACCGUCCUGACCAAUAUAUUAAGCUAUGCCAGCAAAACCAAGUUAGGAACAAGGGAAACUUCCUCCAGAAGAAGAUGAAUUUUGAGUGAACAUCCCACUAUUGUAUGUAUAGAUGGUCACUGCAAAGUCAAGCAAUUCUUACGCUUCAGCCUUCACUCUGUAUUUGAAUGGCUACUGCAUGAUAAUAACUAAUGAUCAAGGAGGAACUUAUGAUCUACUCCCAUUAUAUAUGUCGAGGAUUUUAAGGACUGAAUGUAAUGCUUAAUUUGGG
Molecule: long non-coding RNA, 1537 nt
Filed under: Theobroma cacao (cacao)
Lineage: Eukaryota; Viridiplantae; Streptophyta; Magnoliopsida; Malvales; Malvaceae
Description: long non-coding RNA (TCAC_LNC006204)
Source: RNAcentral